GAUGAACGCUGGCGGCGUGCCUAAUACAUGCAAGUCGAGCGAACGGACGAGAAGCUUGCUUCCCUGAUGUUAGCGGCGGACGGGUGUGUAACACGUGGAUAACCUACCUAUAAGACUGGGAUAACUUCGGGAAACCGUAGCUAAUACCGGAUAAUAUUUUGAACCGCAUGGUUCAAAAGUGAAAGACGGUCUUGCUGUCACUUAUAGAUGGAUCCGCGCUGCAUUAGCUAGUUGGUAAGGUAACGGCUUACCAAGGCAACGAUGCAUAGCCGCCCUGAGAGGGUGAUCGGCCACACUGGAACUGAGACACGGUCCAGACUCCUACGGGAGGCAGCAGUAGGGAAUCUUCCGCAAUGGGCGAAAGCCUGACGGAGCAACGCCGCGUGAGUGAUGAAGGUCUUCGGAUCGUAAAACUCUGUUAUUAGGGAAGAACAUAUGUGUAAGUAACUGUGCACAUCUUGACGGUACCUAAUCAGAAAGCCACGGCUAACUACGUG
Molecule: ribosomal RNA, 497 nt
Filed under: uncultured bacterium
Lineage: Bacteria
Description: partial 16S ribosomal RNA
Rfam family: Bacterial small subunit ribosomal RNA
Source: RNAcentral